Molecule: transfer RNA, 76 nt
Filed under: Dokdonella fugitiva
Lineage: Bacteria; Pseudomonadati; Pseudomonadota; Gammaproteobacteria; Lysobacterales; Rhodanobacteraceae
Also listed under: 7 other names
Description: tRNA-Thr
Rfam family: tRNA
About the family: Transfer RNA (tRNA) molecules are approximately 80 nucleotides in length. Their secondary structure includes four short double-helical elements and three loops (D, anti-codon, and T loops). Further hydrogen bonds mediate the characteristic L-shaped molecular structure. tRNAs have two regions of fundamental functional importance: the anti-codon, which is responsible for specific mRNA codon recognition, and the 3' end, to which the tRNAs corresponding amino acid is attached (by aminoacyl-tRNA synthetases). tRNAs cope with the degeneracy of the genetic code in two manners: having more than one tRNA (with a specific anti-codon) for a particular amino acid; and 'wobble' base-pairing, i.e. permitting non-standard base-pairing at the 3rd anti-codon position.
Source: RNAcentral
GCCGGAGUAGCUCAGUUGGUAGAGCGGCGCAUUCGUAAUGCGUAGGUCGGGGGUUCGAUUCCCUUCUCCGGCACCA